This 482-nucleotide ribosomal RNA is filed under the name uncultured bacterium. Its description in RNAcentral is "bacterial SSU rRNA". It matches the Rfam family "Bacterial small subunit ribosomal RNA", at positions 36 to 507 of the family's 1533-position model. The record is from RNAcentral.
CUGGCGGCAUGCCUUACACAUGCAAGUCGAACGGCAGCAUGGAAGAGCUUGCUCUUCUGAUGGCGAGUGGCGAACGGGUGAGUAAAGCAUCGGAACGUACCGUGUAGUGGGGGAUAACGUAGCGAAAGUUACGCUAAUACCGCAUACGCACUGAGGUGGAAAGCAGGGGAUCGCAAGACCUUGCGCUAUACGAGCGGCCGAUGUCAGAUUAGCUAGUUGGUAGGGUAAAGGCCUACCAAGGCGACGAUCUGUAGCGGGUCUGAGAGGAUGAUCCGCCACACUGGGACUGAGACACGGCCCAGACUCCUACGGGAGGCAGCAGUGGGGAAUUUUGGACAAUGGGCGAAAGCCUGAUCCAGCCAUGCCGCGUGAGUGAAGAAGGCCUUCGGGUUGUAAAGCUCUUUCGGCUGGGAAGAAAUCGCACAGGCUAAUACUCUGUGUGGAUGACGGUACCAGCACAGGAAGCACCGGCUAACUACGUG